UGGGGAAUUUUGGACAAUGGGCGCAAGCUUGAUCCAGCAAUGCCGCGUGCAGGAUGAAGGCCUUCGGGUUGUAAACUGCUUUUGUACGGAGCGAAAAGGUCUGCCCUAAUACGGUGGGCUCAUGACGGUACCGUAAGAAUAAGCACCGGCUAACUACGUGCCAGCAGCCGCGGUAAUACGUAGGGUGCGAGCGUUAAUCGGAAUUACUGGGCGUAAAGCGUGCGCAGGCGGUUAUAUAAGACAGGUGUGAAAUCCCCGGGCUCAACCUGGGACCUGCAUUUGUGACUGUAUAGCUAGAGUACGGUAGAGGGGGAUGGAAUUCCGCGUGUAGCAGUGAAAUGCGUAGAUAUGCGGAGAAACACCGAUGGCGAAGGCAAUCCCCUGGACCUGUACUGACGCUCAUGCACGAAAGCGUGGGGGGCAAACA
This 427-nucleotide ribosomal RNA is filed under the name uncultured bacterium. RNAcentral describes it as "bacterial SSU rRNA". It matches the Rfam family "Bacterial small subunit ribosomal RNA", at positions 355 to 774 of the family's 1533-position model. The record is from RNAcentral.